GAUGAACGCUGGCGGCGUGCCUAACACAUGCAAGUCGGACGAUCUGGAGCAAUCUGGGUAGUGGCGGACGGGUGCGUAACACGUAGGUGACCUGCCCUGGAGUGGGGAAUAAUUCCGCGAAAGCGGGACUAAUACCGCAUAAGCUCGCCGGUUCGAUCUGGUGAGUAAAGCCGAAAGGCGCUUUGGGAUGGGCCUGCGGCGGAUUAGCUAGUUGGUGGGGUAAAGGCUUACCAAGGCGAUGAUCCGUAGGGGGCGUGAGAGCGUGACCCCCCACAUUGGCACUGAGACACGGGCCAAACUCCUACGGGUGGCUG
This 314-nucleotide ribosomal RNA is filed under the name uncultured Chloroflexota bacterium. RNAcentral's name for it is "bacterial SSU rRNA". It matches the Rfam family "Bacterial small subunit ribosomal RNA", at positions 28 to 351 of the family's 1533-position model. The record is from RNAcentral. Lineage: Bacteria; Bacillati; Chloroflexota.